AGAGAGGUGAGUCAUCCAUUCUUCAUGGCACAGCUGUCGCCUUCCUGAAACUCACAUUAGACACGCGCUCAUAGAAUCAAAUGUACCACAUGCAGCCAUUACAGACGGGCACACCAACCCCAGACUGCUGUUGCCAGAUUCCCACGUUGAAAUCCUCACCCGCGUGAAGAUGGUGUUAGGAGGUCAGACCUUUGGAAGGUGAUGAGGUCAUGAGGGUGGAGCCCCAACGAAUGGGAUUAGUGCCCUCAUGAAAGAGACACAAGAGAGAUGAUCUCUUUCCUCCGAUUGAGGACACAGCAGGAAGCCUGCCCGUCUGCAACCAAGAAGCCAGCCUGCAGCAGAAUCUGACGGUGCAGGCGCCCGGAUCUCAGAACUGCCAGCCUGCAGAACUCAGAGGAGAGACAUGUCUGUUGUUUGUAGGUCACCCAGUCAGCGGUUCUUUUUAUAGCAGCCUGAACUGACUAAGACACUUGGGAAGGAUGCUUGCAGAUGUUAGGACUACGCCCACAUGCUAAGAGCACCUGGGAAGGUGAUGGGAUUCCUGUGGGCUCCUUAUCAGGUGGACUCAGGAAGGUGGUGGACUUCCUGUGGGCCCCUCUUCAGAUGUGCCUGGGAGGGGCGGCUGUGGUGUUGAAAGCUCAUUUGGCCAGGGUUGAAUUAGCAGAGUGCAUUGAGAAAUGGAACUCAAGCCCAGUGUGAUCUUCUGGGAAAAGCUGACACCAGAAAACAAAAGAGAGCAAGAGAGAAGACAGUGGGUGAAGUCCUGGUUCCAGACUCCCCUUUUUGCCGGGAUAUGAUGGAUCUGUCAGCUGGUGCCUAGAGUCCUAGAGAGCUAGAGAUGGAGGGAAAUUCAGAUCAUCUAAACCCUUCAGCCCUUCACUGGACAGAAGAGGAAACUGAGGCUCCAUCUGCAUGACGUUCCCAGAGUCACGGCACAAAUUCAUGGAAGAAGCAGCAGGAAACUCAGUUCUCCAGUCUGGGUCCAAUGUGUGUUUUAGAAAUAUCUCCACAGGGUUAAUGACUCAAUUUUUCAUGCAUGAUUGCUAGUAAUGACAAUCAUGUUAUGUUUGUUUCUGUAGCUUUGGAAAUCACUCCUUCCACUUGAGUUUCAGGUCCCAACUGUCCACACCUGCAGGAGUGAGGUUUUGCUGAGACUGAUAAGGCACUCACAUUUUGUGGGAGUUGAAUUGUCUCUGUAGCCUAGAAUCUAGAUUUUUUUCCCUCCUCUGCUCUCAGUGAACGGAGAAUUCCAUCUCGGUACAAUCUGUGAACCAUUCUGCAGUAAGAUUGUCAUCGUCUCAUUCAUACUACCUGGUCGGUAACACAAAGGGCUGUAAUUGAUGUGGUUCAGAGACUCACAUCCAAGCAAUAAAAAUGAAUCCCUUAUGGUGGUCUGCAGCAACGCAAA
Molecule: long non-coding RNA, 1408 nt
Filed under: Homo sapiens (human)
Lineage: Eukaryota; Metazoa; Chordata; Mammalia; Primates; Hominidae
Description: lncRNA associated with SART3 regulation of splicing
Source: RNAcentral